This is a long non-coding RNA of Leucoraja erinaceus (little skate), 1662 nucleotides long. RefSeq lists it as uncharacterized. Lineage: Eukaryota; Metazoa; Chordata; Chondrichthyes; Rajiformes; Rajidae. The record is from RefSeq and is a predicted model, not a curated record. The transcript is spliced from 4 exons.
AUUUUUUUAAAUAUAUGUACAUUCAUAUAUAUAUCUACAUUACUAAAACUCAGUUCUUGACCGCUUUUCCCGAUCUGUGCUGCGAUUUCCGAGAGAACGCCGCCACCUACGGCCGUCAUUUUUGGCCACCUCCCUCAGAGCCCCCCUCUGCCGCAUGUGUGCCGAGGAUUUUUCCCCUCGAUGAAAUAUGACCGAGAUAUUAAUGUUUUUACAUCAUUCCCCAUUCUCUCUGCUGCCCCCGCUGGUGGCAGGGGAGGGAGGGGCUAUAAAACCCGGAAGCGACCCGCUUCAACUCACUUUCUUGCCGGCCACGAAGUGAAAAUGUCACGGCUCUCUGAGCUGCCGCUCUGCUCCCAGGUGAGUGCUUUUUCACCCAAUUGAUAUGUAUGUUAUUCACCAUGCUCUGAAGUUUCUUGGCAUUUUGUUGGAAAGAGUUUGUAUAUUUGUCUACUAUCUAUAUUGUGUUUGAACUGUGAAUUGAAAAUAAAAACCAUUUGAAUUUGUAUAUGUCUAUCUAUAUUGUGUUUGAACUGUGAAUUGAAAAUAAAAACCAUUUGUAUAUUUGUCUAUCUAUACUGUGUUUGAACUGUGAAUUGAAAAUAAAAACCAUUUGUAUAUUUGUCUAUCUAUAUUGUGUUUGAACUGUGAAUUGAAAAUAAAAACCAUUUGUAUAUUUGUCUAUCUAUACUGUGUUUGAACUGUGAAUUGAAAAUAAAAACCAUUUGUAUAUUUGUCUAUCUAUACUGUGUUUGAACUGUGAAUUGAAAAUAAAAACCAUUUGUAUAUUUGUCUAUCUAUAUUGUGUUUGAACUGUGAAAUGAAAAUAAAAGCCAUUUGUUAUUGAUGUAAAGCGUUUUGCAAAUUUUGUUUCUCCUGGGUUUUAAAAUGGUUGCACCGGUUUUCAGGUAACUAAAGCAAGAUGUCUAUUGUGUUUGAAAUGGUGAUGUAAAUUGAAAUGCAUUUGUUGUAACGUUUUCAGGCCAGUAAUGCGCGAAAUAACCUUUUUUAUUUCGAUCAGCACUGUUUAAAUUUAAAAUUGGCGGACAUUUUGUGAUUUUGGCGGUUUGAAGAUGGCGGCAAUUACGUCAUUUCCGACGAUCGGUAAGAUGGCGCCGAUGACGUCAUUUCCGGCGAGCCGCGAAGUGAUAGGGUCACGGCUCUCUGAGCUGCAGCUCUGCUCCCAGCACUGUGUUUAAAUUUAAAAUUGGCGGACAAUUUGUGAUUGUGGCCGUUUGAAGAUGGGGGCGAUGACGUCAUUUCCGGUGAUCGGUGAGAUGGCGGCGAUGACGUCAUUUCCGGUGAUUGGUAAGAUGGCGGCGAUGACGUCAUUUCCGGUCGGAGGCAAGAUGGCGCUGAAGAUGUGCACGAGGUGUUGAAUGAUUCUACAGACUGGAAAUAGUCAUCAAGAGGCAGUGAGCAGCAGAACACAACAAGACGCAACAAGACACAACAAGAAAUAGUCAUCAAGAGGCAGUGAACAGCAGAACACAACAAGCCGCAACAAGACACAACAAGUAAAAACUUAAUAAAUCUCAUCUUUAAAAUUUAAACUGUUCUUAUUAUUUUAAGAGUCAUUCACAUUUUAAACUUUAAUAAAACCUUUUUGCACUUUUAAUGCUGCGUGUUCUUCAUCACAAUAGAACCUAAUAGGCAGGAAUGGCU